CAGGCCCUAAAUUAAGGUCAGCAGCUUCCUGACACUGUGGGUUUGAACCAGGAGGCUAAAGAGAUGUCUUUCUAUGAUCUGUUGGCCAUUUCGGAAGUUGGGCAGUGAAAUGGUCAAAAAAAAAGAAAGAAACAGUU
This is a small nucleolar RNA of Cavia porcellus (domestic guinea pig), 137 nucleotides long. NCBI's taxonomy places the organism in Eukaryota, Metazoa, Chordata, Mammalia, Rodentia, Caviidae. The record is from Ensembl.